UGGCUCAGUUGUAGAGCGCUUGCCUUGCAUGCAUGAGGCCCUGGGUUCGAUUCCUCAG
Non-coding RNA from Dipodomys ordii (Ord's kangaroo rat), 58 nucleotides. NCBI's taxonomy places the organism in Eukaryota, Metazoa, Chordata, Mammalia, Rodentia, Heteromyidae. The record is from Rfam.